CAGUAGCCGCGGUAAUACGUAGGUGGCAAGCGUUAUCCGGAAUUAUUGGGCGUAAAGCGCGCGUAGGUGGUUUUUUAAGUCUGAUGUGAAAGCCCACGGCUCAACCGUGGAGGGUCAUUGGAAACUGGAAAACUUGAGUGCAGAAGAGGAAAGUGGAAUUCCAUGUGUAGCGGUGAAAUGCGCAGAGAUAUGGAGGAACACCAGUGGCGAAGGCGACUUUCUGGUCUGUAACUGACGCUGAUGUGCGAAAGCGUGGGGAUCAAACAGGAUUAGAUACCCCCGUAGUCCCUGUCUCUUAUAC
Molecule: ribosomal RNA, 301 nt
Filed under: uncultured bacterium
Lineage: Bacteria
Description: partial 16S ribosomal RNA
Rfam family: Bacterial small subunit ribosomal RNA
Source: RNAcentral